This 325-nucleotide ribosomal RNA is filed under the name Floccularia albolanaripes. RNAcentral's name for it is "LSU rRNA". It matches the Rfam family "Bacterial large subunit ribosomal RNA", at positions 1756 to 2084 of the family's 2925-position model. The record is from RNAcentral. Lineage: Eukaryota; Fungi; Basidiomycota; Agaricomycetes; Agaricales; Squamanitaceae.
UUAAUUUAUUANUUUUUGCGGUGGCACAGAAUCGGAGGCCCCGACUGUUUACUAAAAACACAACACAGUGCAAUCAUUAAUAUGAUAGUAUACUGUNNGAAAUUUGCCCGAUGCCAUUAAUAUAAGAGCNGGUCAUAGGGAACUGUGACUAAUCGAAAGUCUGGUUAAUAGCGGUCUUAACUAUGAGGAUCCUAAGGUAGCAAAAUCAAUUGGCCAUUAAAUGUGGUCCGGUAUCAAUAAUGUAACGAUGGUCUCACUGUCUCUACAACUUGCUCAGUGAAAUUGAAUUACGCGUGCAGAUGCGCGUUGCCUCCAGGGGGACGGG